AUGCGACUUGUCAAUGCAAACUGUAAUCUUGUAAAUUCUAUACAAAGGUUCCUCUUUAAAGAACUCAACAAAAUGUAUUUUAACUAUACUUCAUGGGUAUCUGAAAAUGCAUCUAUAAUAGCUCUCUUUUUAUUUAUGAUACAGUUACCUAUCCAAUGCUUACCUACAACCGGGUCAGGGCAGUGCUUGUCUCCUGACGCAACACUAUAUAACAACAGCAGUUCAUCAGCAAGAACAAUAGAAGUUGAACUGAAAUACAAAUCAAUAAACCAAACCCAGCAAUGGACAGAUCAACUGCAUAGCACCCAAAUGAAUCUCGAAAAGAAUCAGUGGGCAAACCGAAGGGAGAAGGAACUGAAGCCGCAUCUGCGUCGUGUGGCCGGCGGCCGCUGUCACUACCCCGUGGCAGACGAGGGGGCGGGCAGAAGAGGUGACCGCGGUAGCGAAUGGGGGUGCGAAAGUUCUGACUGUGGAAGCGGACGAAGGAGCCGGCGGCGGCGGGCCGCGGAGGCGAUUGCGGCGGCGGCGGACGAACGGAGCGAGCGAUUGGGAGAAGGGAAAGGAGCGCGCCUGAGCCGACUCAUCUGCGUGAUCACCUCGUCCAGGAGCCGAGACAGUGUCGAUUGA
This 627-nucleotide ribosomal RNA is filed under the name Triticum aestivum (bread wheat). RNAcentral's name for it is "partial small subunit ribosomal RNA". Lineage: Eukaryota; Viridiplantae; Streptophyta; Magnoliopsida; Poales; Poaceae. The record is from RNAcentral.